This 67-nucleotide transfer RNA is filed under the name Amphizoa insolens. Its description in RNAcentral is "tRNA-Ser". Lineage: Eukaryota; Metazoa; Arthropoda; Insecta; Coleoptera; Amphizoidae. The record is from RNAcentral.
AGUUAAUGAACUUGAAUAAGUAUAUGUUUUGAAAACAUAAUAUAAAGUAUAAAACCUUUAUUAACUU